RNAcentral lists this ribosomal RNA (404 nucleotides) under uncultured prokaryote. RNAcentral's name for it is "bacterial SSU rRNA". It matches the Rfam family "Bacterial small subunit ribosomal RNA", at positions 355 to 776 of the family's 1533-position model. RNAcentral also lists the same sequence under 1 other name. The record is from RNAcentral.
UGGGGAAUAUUGCACAAUGGGGGGAACCCUGAUGCAGCAACGCCGCGUGGGUGAAGAAGUAUUUCGGUAUGUAAAGCCCUAUCAGCAGGGAAGAUAGUGACGGUACCUGACUAAGAAGCUCCGGCUAAAUACGUGCCAGCAGCCGCGGUAAUACGUAUGGAGCAAGCGUUAUCCGGAUUUACUGGGUGUAAAGGGUGCGUAGGCGGCAUGCCAAGUCAGAUGUGAAAUGCCGGGGCUUAACCCCGGAGCUGCAUUUGAAACUGGCACGCUUGAGUUCAGGAGGGGCAGGCGGAAUUCCUGGUGUAGCGGUGAAAUGCGUAGAUAUCAGGAGGAACACCGGUGGCGAAGGCGGCCUGCUGGACUGACACUGACGCUGAGGCACGAAAGCGUGGGGAGCAAACAGG